UCUAGUCUAAAAAGAGCUACUCGGAAAGUGACAGUGUUACAAAUGGCUACUAGAGCUGCUCGGAAAGGGACAGUUUAAAAUAGCAAGGAUGGUUCUUUGUUUUUUAUGAAGGGGUUAUCGGAAGAGUAGAAAGGGUGGUUUGUCAGCAUGGGAGCAGGCAGGAGCUCAAGAGUGGUUAGAAGUUGUCACCGAAGAUUUGGAAGGAUCUUCACCAAAUAGGUUUUUUUGGUGUAGACUUUACUUUCGAUUUGUUAGACAUAUAUUUGAUUUGUUUUUUUUAGUGUUAUUGUUGUAUAACAUAAUGGUUGCCAAUCUCUUGAGAUUCUAAAAAUUUACACCAAAUAAGUUUA
Long non-coding RNA from Trifolium pratense (red clover), 350 nucleotides. RefSeq lists it as uncharacterized. Lineage: Eukaryota; Viridiplantae; Streptophyta; Magnoliopsida; Fabales; Fabaceae. The record is from RefSeq and is a predicted model, not a curated record. The transcript is spliced from 3 exons.